This is a non-coding RNA of Paramisgurnus dabryanus, 1096 nucleotides long. NCBI's taxonomy places the organism in Eukaryota, Metazoa, Chordata, Actinopteri, Cypriniformes, Cobitidae. The record is from RefSeq and is a predicted model, not a curated record.
ACUGUUAGAUGUCGCUGUAGAUUUAGCAGCACUGUACUGUAAAAAUCCACAGUACUAUACUGUAUGUGUACAUUACAGUACAGUACUGCAGUUCAUAAUGCAUUCUGGGUAAAUUUGUUUGAGCGGGAACAUUUUACAGUAUAUUUUGGUCUUGAUGUAACCUUGCUGUAGCCAUUGCUGUAAUGUGCCAGGUGUACUUGCAAUAAUCAGAGAAAGUGCGCCAACGUCAAAUCACACAGACAGAGGGAGCGCACAACUCUUGGCUGCAGCUGAAGGAGGACGAUUGAUUUCUGUCAGUUCGUCUUACCAUUGCUUGUAAGUCGGAUUGGGUAAGAUGGAUCAUCUUUAAAGGCACCAGGAGUUAAGGCAGAUGUGGAGGCACAACGGGUGACACCAGACACACACCAAGCACAUUGUUCGGACAUUCAAUCAUGACAUGAUCCAUGUGGAUGCUGUCCAUUGAGGAAAGAGUUUGUUCAGCGGUAAGUGAAUCUUCUGUAUUUUAAUGUAAUUAGGUGUGGAACAGUAGAAUAAGAGCAAAAGGUUUCAGAAUAGGAGUAAAUUCAAGGCUGAGUUUAGUUUUUUAAGAAUCUUUUUCUAUCUUAUAUUUGUUGACUUAAUGUUUAUGAUAUUUCUAACAGGUUUCUGGAUAGAAUUAAUUCCAAAGAUGGGAAAAAGUGCACAUCCAGACAAGGAGCAAGCAAAAAGACAAGGAACUUGGUGCAGAGAAAAGCUGUGGCCAUUAACCCCCAUGUGAACAGCUUCAUGCAGUCCCUGAUUGAGUUCGAAUGGACGACUUCAAAGUAAAGGCCACUGUGGUCUGUCUGCCACAGUUUAAUGCAUUUAUUUUUAGUGUUAAAUGAAAUUCAAGUAGAAUAUUUAAAACUAUGGGCCAGUGUUCUUUUUACCACAGUGAAAUGUUACCUUUUAGUCGAUGAUGGACUUUAAACUGAAAACUUCAAACUAUGGAAGAGUGUUCUAUUUGCCAGAGUUAAAUAUGUUACAGCAGGGGUCUCCAAACUUGUUUAUACUUGUUGAUUUUAUUUUAUGUUACUUGAUUAUAUGUUUAUUAUUGUUUAAAAUCUUGUUUUAAAUA